CGAGGAAUAUUGCACAAUGGACGCAAGUCUGAUGCAGUAACGCCGCGUGGGGGAAGAAGACCUUCGGGUUGUAAACCUCUUUUAUAUAGGACGAGUGAGGACGGUACUAUAGGAAUAAGUCUCGGCUAACUACGUGCCAGCAGCCGCGGUAAGACGUAGGAGGCGAGCGUUAUCCGGAUUCACUGGGCGUAAAGCGCAUGUAGGCGGUUGUGUAAGUCCGAUGUUAAAACCCCUGGCUCAACUGGGGGAGGUCAUUGGAGACUACUCGACUUGAGGGCAACAGAGGCACGUGGAACUCCCGGUGUAGCGGUGGAAUGCGUAGAGAUCGGGAAGAACACCAGUGGCGAAGGCGACGUGCUGGGGUUGCAACUGACGCUGAGAUGCGAAAGUGUGGGGAGCAAACGGGAUUAGAUACCCCGGUAGUCCACACUGUAAACGAUGAACCCUAGGUGUGGGGGGUAAAACCCGUCCGUGCCGAAGCCAACGCGUAAGGGUUCCGCC
This 501-nucleotide ribosomal RNA is filed under the name uncultured bacterium. Its description in RNAcentral is "bacterial SSU rRNA". It matches the Rfam family "Bacterial small subunit ribosomal RNA", at positions 355 to 873 of the family's 1533-position model. The record is from RNAcentral.